Molecule: ribosomal RNA, 403 nt
Filed under: Verrucomicrobiota bacterium
Lineage: Bacteria; Pseudomonadati; Verrucomicrobiota
Description: Verrucomicrobia bacterium partial 16S ribosomal RNA
Rfam family: Bacterial small subunit ribosomal RNA
Source: RNAcentral
UGGGGAAUUUUGCACAAUGGGGGAAACCCUGAUGCAGCGACGCCGCGUGAUUUAGAAGGCCUUCGGGUUGUAAAAAUCUUUUCUAUGGGAAGAAAAUGACAGUACCAUAGGAAUAAGGACCGGCUAAUUACGUGCCAGCAGCCGCGGUAAUACGUAAGGUCCGAGCGUUGUCCGGAAUCAUUGGGCGUAAAGCGCACGUAGGCGGACUAUUAAGUCAGGGGUGAAAUCCCGGGGCUCAACCCCGGAACUGCCUUUGAUACUGGUAGUCUUGAGUUCGAGAGAGGUGAGUGGAAUUCCGAGUGUAGAGGUGAAAUUCGUAGAUAUUCGGAGGAACACCAGUGGCGAAGGCGGCUCACUGGCUCGAUACUGACGCUGAGGUGCGAAAGCGUGGGGAGCAAACAGG